UUCUUAGUCCUUUGGGAUUAGGCAUGGACCUAAUUAAAUAAUAAAUGAAGCAUAUUAAAAUGCAAACAUGCUAGCUAACUAUCUAGAUUAAACUAUAUCAACCCCUUGGCACAAAUUAAUUUAUUAAAUUAAUUAGCCAAUACUUUAAAAAGUUGGAAAUCAAGGUCUCAAGAGAUAAUAAAUUCUCUUCCAGUUCUAAAUCUGUGAUCCUAGGAAUUAUUUGGAGCAGAUUGGACUGGAAGAUUGAUUCAUAUCACAUAUAUUAUAUAAAUGUAUUAAAUAAAUAUUUUCUAUUAUGUUUUAUAUAAUAUUUUAUAUUUAUAUAGGAAAGGUAAGUUUUAAUGAGUCAGGGAAAAAUUAAAUACAUGGAAUUCUAUCUUGAGAGAUAAAGACUGGAUUAUAUACUUAAUGAAAGGCCCUUAGGUGGAAGUAAGAGAGCCAAUUUAUUCUAUUCUGACAGCUUGAGGCCUCCAGGAUCCCUACAUAGGAAUCUCUGGUAACAGAGGAGGUCAUACUAAGAGGUAAUAUUUGUAUAUUAGGAAGAGUACUGGGCUUGACUUCAGAAGGCCUAACUUCAAAUUCCAACUAUCAUUUUUAUUAGCUUUGUGAUCUUGAACAAGUAACUUAAUUGCUCAUUGGUAAAAUGAAGGUCAUAAUACUUGUACAACCUGAUUUACAGUGUUUUUAGAAGGAAAAACACUUUGUAAACCUUAAAACUCUAAAUAUAUUUGAGCCAUUAGUUGUUAUUAGUAUCAUCUUCUAAUUAUUAUUAUUAUUAUUAUAACCCUUAGCUCCAAAGUACCCUUACAUAGAGAUAAUGGAUGUUGUUAUUGGACUUUGGAAGGAAUAAAAGCUUAAAAUUUCAUUGUCAUCUGGAGAGAGCUAGAGGGUGAGGCACAGAAAGAAAGGACUAAAAGAAUUCUUUCCUGGGGAAAAAAAAAAGAAGUAAGCUUAUUUUUCCGAAAGACUAAAGAAACAUUUUAAGAGAAGUUAGUUCAGUACUUAUCCUGUAGAGAAGGUGUUCUGUGGAGAAAAUCUGAAAAGGAUUCUCCAGAGACUUUGAUUGCCAUCCUGAGAGAAGCAAUAGUGGGGAUUUCAAGAAUUGCUGGGGAUACAGAAGCUAUGGUGAUUCUGGCUUUUAUUCAGUCAUUUAGUUAAUAAUUUCAAUUUUACCUAACCCCCUGAGACAGGAAUUUGAUACUGAGAGAUGACUUUAUGGGAAAAGAGAUUUUUCUAGUUUAUUUAUGCACAAGGGUGAGAACUCAGAGCCAAUUGAUUAAUUAAUAAGACAUUCUUUCAUAGUAAUUUAUGAUAAAAUAUCAAAAUAUAUCCUUUGCUUUAGAACCUGGCACAAAAGUUAAUAAAACAAUAAACCAGUAACAGAUGGAGAGGGGUGAAGGAUGGUCUAGUUGUCAAUUAUUGCAUUCACGGACCAGAUUUUCAUCUAGAGAUAAUUUUUCCAGUUAAAGCACCAUGCCUGGGGAGGGUGGAGGGUGAGGUUUCCAGUUUCAUUUCUAUCUGGAACAUUGUCUUCCCACAAAGGAAAGCAAUGCUAUAGACUGUGGAAACCCUAUCUUUGACUAGCUAUCAUAAAAAUAUGUCUUCUUGGUCUUGAAGACAGGUAGGCCAAAGUGUGAAUGGCUCACUGCAAACUCAUACUCACUAUUGGACAAACAUCUCAGGGAGUACAUUCUUCUGACUGUGGGCCAGUAACUGUUUGUCAUUGCAAUAACUUUUAUGUAGGCAGGACAGUACUGAAGCUGCCAAGAUGCCACCUGCAUGCAAGUGAGUGGUUCUUAUAAUGACCUGUUUCUACAUUCUCUGUCUUUAUCUGUCUACCUCUCAUCAACUUGUCUCCAUUUUUGUGGUAUGUCUACCUAAUCUGCUGUUUCUUUAUCUCUUGCUAAGGACACUAGACGCUAAAUGAUGGUUUUGCUUUAAAUAUUAUUGUGUAAGAACAGUGAGACAAGCAUCAAUAUGGAAGGACAUACAAUAUAGCAUGAUUACCUAACCUGUUUUAUGAGAACAGAGGAUGGGAAAAGGAGAAUUUAGCUUCAAGUACUCUUCUAGGAAACGCAUGGAACCUCAGGGCUCAAGAGGAGGAGGGGUGAUGAUGAUGCUAGGAAUAGGGAGGGGCUCUCUACUGGGAAAGAGACUCAAUUACUAUUGAUCAUAUUCACUUCUUCCCUUUUUUUCAAAGAUGGGGUGAUAAAAGACAACUAGAUUUGCAAUCAAGUCCUUAGCGUUAAAUCCCAGCUUAAAUAAAUUAUCUUCCAGUUCUAAAUAUGUGCUAGAAAUUAUUUGGAGCAGAUUGGACUGGAAGAUUGAUUCAUAUCAUAUAUGUUAUAUAAAUGUAUUAAGUAAAUAUUUUCUAUUAUGUUUUAUAUAAAUGUACACAUACAUAUGCACUAUGUGUUUUGUUACCAGGUUCAGAAAACUGGGAGUCAAAGAGUCAUGAAAGGGGACCAUACUAAUGAAUGGUUAACAAACCAUAAAGUCAACAAACUGGAAAUAGGGGUGAGUUAAUGGAUCCCAGGAAUCAGCAAAAUCAUGAAUAAAACAUUACAAAUAUCCAUCCAGAAAUCUACACACUAAGACAUUCAGAAAGCUAGACAUAGAAAUAUUAUCCAAGUUUUCAAUCAGUGGUUCUAAAGUCAAAGAAGGUCAUUCUGGGCAAAGUCAAGAGAAUGUUAUAAAGAAAGAAAUCCUAGACACUAACUGAAAAAGAUUUAGUUUAAAAAAAAAAGAUUAAGUCCAAAAUGACAAUAUUUUAUGCUAACAAGCUGACAACUCCUCUUUUUCCCAUGCUCACAUACACAUAAACACAUUUAGCUGAACACAAUGCACCUAUGAAUUCAGACACCUUCUGUACUGCUCUAUGCCAGGUACUGUAGAGCAAACAAUAAAAAUGACAAUCAACUGGAAAGACAAGUUAAAUACAAGAAAAUAAAUAACAAUAUGACAACAUUAGAUCAUGAAGCAAUUUGUGAAAAGUUCAAAUGAGU
This 3005-nucleotide long non-coding RNA is filed under the name Sarcophilus harrisii (Tasmanian devil). RNAcentral describes it as "lncRNA (ENSSHAG00000031572.1)". The record is from RNAcentral. Lineage: Eukaryota; Metazoa; Chordata; Mammalia; Dasyuromorphia; Dasyuridae.